RNAcentral lists this unclassified non-coding RNA (214 nucleotides) under Hevea brasiliensis (rubber tree). Lineage: Eukaryota; Viridiplantae; Streptophyta; Magnoliopsida; Malpighiales; Euphorbiaceae. The record is from RNAcentral.
CCCAUAUGUAAUUUUGGGAAAAGUGUAUUACGAGUUUCUAUGUCAGGAUGUUACAUUUUAUGUAAAGAAGGCAUUAUGAGGUUCUGAGCCAACAUCUGCAGCAGCCAAGUCUGGCUUUGUUGUCUGCUGGUAUGUUAUUUUUAUCCUCUGCUGCUAUUUCAUUAUAUAUAUUUUUAAUGCUUCUGUGCAGGCCAGAAGAUCUACGUGGACCCUU